Molecule: long non-coding RNA, 3149 nt
Organism: Vidua macroura (Pin-tailed whydah)
Lineage: Eukaryota; Metazoa; Chordata; Aves; Passeriformes; Viduidae
Exons: 2
Source: RefSeq, a predicted model, not a curated record
UACCCCAUUAUCCCGUUACCCCAUUCCCCGUUACCCAGAUCCCAUUUUCCCGUUAUCCCGUUAUCCCGCUAUCCCAUCCCCGCUAUCCCCAGGCUGCAGGACGCUCUCCGGGCCCAGCCCCGCCUCGGCCCCGUGUCCGCUCUGCUCCCGGCCCCGGCACGGGGAUUUGGCUCCUCGGGCUCCCCGCGGGUGUCACCCCCGCAGGGCAGAGGCGGUGCCCUUGCCCCGGCUGGCACUGUCACUGUCACCUCCUCGGGUGUCACCCCGGCAGGGCACAGGCGGUGCCCUUGCCCCGGCUGGCACUGUCACUGUCACCUCCUCGGGUGUCACCCCGGCAGGGCACAGGCGGUGCCCUUGCCCCGGCUGGCACUGUCACUGUCACCUCCUCCGGCCGCCGCAGCCGCCGUCCUGCCCGUGCUGCUGCCCUCGCGCCGGGAGCGUAAAAACCAGGGUGUAAGGCUAAAGAAAGCAGGGUCUGAAAGUUCUAAAAGCCAGGUUUAAAAAUUCUAAAAGCCAGGUUUGAAAGUUUUCAAAGCCAGGGUUGAAAAGUUUUAAAAGCCAGGUUUAAAAGUUUUAAAAGCCAAGGUUUAAAAGCUCAAAUAGCCAGGUUUAAAAAGUUAGAACACCAGGGUUUAAAGGCUAAAAUAGUCUGGGUUUAAAAGUUUUAAAAGCCGGGGUUUAAAAGUUUAAAGCCAGGGCUGAGCAGUGUCCUGCAGCUCUGGCUUAGUUAGGAUGGGGCUGGGAGCUGAUCCCGCUCCUAAACCCAGCCUAAAUCCCCGUCCUGCAAUCCUGGCCCAGUUAGGAUGGGGCUGGGAGCUGAUCCUGCUCCCAAACCCAGCCUAAAUCCCCGUCUCCCUGCAGCAGCACCCCCAGCCCGGCCCCUGGAGCGCUCCAGGAGCCCAAAUCCCGCUCUGGUCCCAGCCCGGGUCUGGCACAGCCCCGCCGGGAAUUCCCUCUCCGGCCCCGCCGGGAAUUCCCUCUCCGGCCCCGCCGGGAAUUCCCUCUCCAGCCCCGCCGGGAAUUCCCUCUCCGGCCCCGCCGGGAAUUCCUUCUCCAGCCCCGCCGGGAAUUCCCUCUCUGGCCCCGCCGGGAAUUCCCUCUCUGGCCCCGCCGGGAAUUCCCUCUCUGGCCCCGCCGGGAAUUCCCUCUCCAGCCCCGCAGGGAAUUCCCUCCCCAGCCCCGCCGGGAAUUCCCUCUCCGGCCCCGCAGGGAAUUCCCUCCCCAGCCCCGCCGGGAAUUCCCUCUCCGGCCCCGCAGGGAAUUCCCUCCCCAGCCCCGCCGGGAAUUCCCUCUCCGGCCCCGCAGGGAAUUCCCUCCCCAGCCCCGCAGGGAAUUCCCUCUCCGGCCCCUCCCCGUCUGAGCCCGGCCCCACCACUCCGGGCUUUUCUUGGUGCUGAUUCCCCCUCGAGCCCUGGAAAUCCUUCCAGGGUCCUUCAGAGCUCUUGAGAGUGGAGGAGAAUUCUCACAUUUGGGAGAGAAAGAGAAUUCCUUCACAUUUGAGAGCAAAAGAGAAUUUUCACAUUUGAGAGCAAAGGAGAAUUUUCACAUUUGAGAGCAAAAGAGAAUUUUCACAUUUGAGAGCAAAGGAGAAUUUUCACAUUUGAGAGAGAAAGAGAAUUUCUUCACAUUUGAGAGAGAAAGAGAAUUUCAUCACAUUUGAGAGAGAAUUUCUUCACAUUUGAGAGUGGAGGAGAAUUUUCACAUUUGAGAGACAAAGAGAAUUUCUUCACAUUUGAGAGUGGAGGAGAAUUUUCAGAUUUGAGAGUAAAGGAAAGGAAAAUUUGUUCACUCUUGAGAGCAAAGGAGAAUUUUCACCGUUAGAGAGUGGAGGAGAAUUUUCAGAUUUGGGAGUAAAGGAGAAUUUCUUCACAUUUGAGAGAGAAUUUCUUCAUAUUUGAGAGCAAAGGAGAAUUUUCACAUUCGACAGCAAAGGAAAAUUUCUUCACUCGAUAGCGAAGGAGAAUUUCUUCACUCUGGAGAGCAGAGAAUUUUCACAUUUGGCAGCGAAGGAGAAUUUUCACAUUUGAGAGUGAAGGAGAAUUUUCACAUUUGAGAGAGAAUUUUCACAUUUGAGAGAGAAUUUCUUCGUAUUUGAGCGAGAAUUUCUUCACAUUUGACAACGAAGGAGAAUUUUCACAUUUGGCAGCGAAGGAGAAUUCUCACAUUUGGGAGCUAAAGGAGAAUUCUCACAUUUGGGAGCUAAAGGAGAAUUUUCACAUUUGGGAGCUAAAGAAGAAUUUUCACAUUUGGCAGCGAAGGAGAAUUUUCACAUUUGGGAGCUAAAGGAGAAUUUCUCCACUCUCGAGAGCGAAGGAGAACUUUCACCAUUUUUUCACCACUUCCCAUUUUCCCCAGGAGAACCCCUCGCUCCUGCCCAGCUCGUGGAUUUCAGCACGGUCAUCAUUUGAUCUUUUUUAACCCUGUACAACCAAACUUCUCCCAGCUUUUUUAGCACUUACAAACCCGACGGAUCCUUCUGAGAACCGAGGAAAACCGCGGCUUCCGCUUCUUGGGUCGUUUUAUUUCACUUUUCUUUUUUUUUUUCCUGGGAAUUCUGGCCAGGAAAUCCUGGCCAGGCCUCACCCUGGAAGCUCAAGACUCACUGCUGGAGUUGGAAAAAAAAACAAAAAAAAAAAAAUGUAAAUAUCGGUGCAAAAAGCAGCGUCUUGCCAGACAAUGGAUUUAUUGAACGCGUAUUGGUACUUUCAAUAUUUCGAGUCAAUGUAUAAAAAGCAACUUGGUGCACUUUUCCUACCUGACAGUAUUUUUGGGGGGGGACUUUUAUUGUUCUUUUGUUAUGGGUUUUGUGCUGUCUUUUUUAAUCCGUGGAAUUGUUAAGUAUUUAAUUUAUUCUUAUUAUUGAUGUGCCCAGAGGACUAGUGCAAUUUUUAUUCAAUACAGUCGGUCUGUAUUUAAUGUCAGGAUUUUUUCCCCCCACCCCCCGUAGAGUUUUUAGGGAAAUAUUUUUCCAAAAUUGCCUUUUUUUUGUUCCCCCUUUUUUCCCCCCCUCACUCCUUUUCCCUUUGUGUUCCCAUCACAGCUCCUGAGGCGCCCGAAGCCUCGACUUUGAGAUAAACCCCAACACCCCCGAGCCCCCAAACCAAAAAUUUCUCCAGGAAAAACACGUGAAGGAUGCACUUCUCCCCGUU